RNAcentral lists this ribosomal RNA (748 nucleotides) under uncultured bacterium. Its description in RNAcentral is "bacterial SSU rRNA". It matches the Rfam family "Bacterial small subunit ribosomal RNA", at positions 8 to 750 of the family's 1533-position model. The record is from RNAcentral.
AGAGUUUGAUCCUGGCUCAGAUUGAACGCUGGCGGCAGGCUUAACACAUGCAAGUCGAGCGGAGAUGAGGUGCUUGCACCUUAUCUUAGCGGCGGACGGGUGAGUAAUGCUUAGGAAUCUGCCUAUUAGUGGGGGACAACAUUCCGAAAGGAAUGCUAAUACCGCAUACGUCCUACGGGAGAAAGCAGGGGAUCUUCGGACCUUGCGCUAAUAGAUGAGCCUAAGUCGGAUUAGCUAGUUGGUGGGGUAAAGGCCUACCAAGGCGACGAUCUGUAGCGGGUCUGAGAGGAUGAUCCGCCACACUGGGACUGAGACACGGCCCAGACUCCUACGGGAGGCAGCAGUGGGGAAUAUUGGACAAUGGGGGGAACCCUGAUCCAGCCAUGCCGCGUGUGUGAAGAAGGCCUUAUGGUUGUAAAGCACUUUAAGCGAGGAGGAGGCUACUGAGACUAAUACUCUUGGAUAGUGGACGUUACUCGCAGAAUAAGCACCGGCUAACUCUGUGCCAGCAGCCGCGGUAAUACAGAGGGUGCGAGCGUUAAUCGGAUUUACUGGGCGUAAAGCGUGCGUAGGCGGCUUUUUAAGUCGGAUGUGAAAUCCCCGAGCUUAACUUGGGAAUUGCAUUCGAUACUGGGAAGCUAGAGUAUGGGAGAGGAUGGUAGAAUUCCAGGUGUAGCGGUGAAAUGCGUAGAGAUCUGGAGGAAUACCGAUGGCGAAGGCAGCCAUCUGGCCUAAUACUGACGCUGAG